RNAcentral lists this ribosomal RNA (485 nucleotides) under uncultured bacterium. RNAcentral describes it as "bacterial SSU rRNA". It matches the Rfam family "Bacterial small subunit ribosomal RNA", at positions 28 to 507 of the family's 1533-position model. The record is from RNAcentral.
GAUAAACGCUGGCGGCGUGCCGAAUACAUGCAAGUCGAACGAAGAGAGCUAGCUUGCUAGAGCUCUUAGUGGCGAACGGGUGAGUAAUACAUAAGCAACCUACCUGCAGGGACCGGGAUAACGCUUGGAAACGAGUGCUAAAAACCGGAUAGGUAAUAACGGGGCAUCCCGAUAUUAUUAAAGGAGAGAAACACAAGCAGAUGGGCUUAUGGUGCAUUAGUUAGUUGGUGAGGUAACGGCCCACCAAGACGAUGAUGCAUAGCCGGCCUGAGAGGGUGAACGGCCACAUUGGGACUGAGACACGGCCCAGACUCCUACGGGAGGCAGCAGUAGGGAAUUUUCGGCAAUGGGGGAAACCCUGACCGAGCAACGCCGCGUGAGUGAUGAAAGUCUUCGGAUUGUAAAGCUCUGUUGUAAGGGAAGAACGGCUUGAGGGGAACUCAAGAGUGACGGUACCUUACCAGAAAGCCACGGCUAACUACGUG